GCGCCUUAUGCAUGCAAGUCGAGCGAAGCUUUUCAGUAGUUUACUACAGAAAAUGACUGAGCGGCGAACGGGUGAGUAACGCGUGAGCAACCUACCUUAGUUACUGGGAUAGCCCGAGGAAACUCGGAUUAAUACCGGAUAUUCUUAUUUAAUCACAUGAUUUUUUAAGGAAAGGUCAGCCGAACUAAGAUGGGCUCGCGUUCUAUCAGCUAGUUGGUAGGGUAAUGGCCUACCAAGGCUACGACGGAUAGCUGGUCUGAGAGGACGAUCAGCCACACUGGGACUGAGACACGGCCCAGACUCCUACGGGAGGCUGCAGCAGGGAAUAUUGCGCAAUGAGCGAAAGCUUGACGCAGCGACACCGCGUGUGGGAUGACGGAUCUAGGUUUGUAAACCACUUUCAGGAGGGAAGAAAAUGACGGUACC
This 426-nucleotide ribosomal RNA is filed under the name uncultured bacterium. RNAcentral describes it as "bacterial SSU rRNA". It matches the Rfam family "Bacterial small subunit ribosomal RNA", at positions 44 to 479 of the family's 1533-position model. The record is from RNAcentral.